Molecule: ribosomal RNA, 367 nt
Filed under: uncultured Allobrachymonas sp.
Lineage: Bacteria; Pseudomonadati; Pseudomonadota; Betaproteobacteria; Burkholderiales; Comamonadaceae
Description: bacterial SSU rRNA
Rfam family: Bacterial small subunit ribosomal RNA
Source: RNAcentral
GGAGUGCUCGAAAGAGAACCUGCACACAGGUGCUGCAUGGCUGUCGUCAGCUCGUGUCGUGAGAUGUUGGGUUAAGUCCCGCAACGAGCGCAACCCUUGCCAUUAGUUGCUACGAAAGGGCACUCUAAUGGGACUGCCGGUGACAAACCGGAGGAAGGUGGGGAUGACGUCAAGUCCUCAUGGCCCUUAUAGGUGGGGCUACACACGUCAUACAAUGGAUGGUACAAAGGGUCGCCAACCCGCGAGGGGGAGCCAAUCCCAUAAAGCCAUUCGUAGUCCGGAUCGCAGUCUGCAACUCGACUGCGUGAAGUCGGAAUCGCUAGUAAUCGUGGAUCAGAAUGUCACGGUGAAUACGUUCCCGGGUCUU